ACCCUAAAGCUAGCCAUUACCCUAAAAACAACAACAAAAUAAUAAUAACCCCAAACACACAAUCACCAAUACACCAAACCAUUUUUCCGCCCUAGUAUGGGAGACAGAAAAGGACCCGUUGAGCUAUAGAAAAAGUACCGCAAGGGAAAGCUGAAAGAGAAGUGAAACAACUCAGCAAGUAAUAGAAAGCAGAGCCCCCCCCUCGUACCUUUUGUAUCAUGAUUUAGCCAGUCAAACCCAAGCAAAGCGACCUUCAGUUUGCUACCCCGAAACUAAGCGAGCUACUCCAAGACAGCCUAUUAAAAGGGCAAACCCGUCUCUGUGGCAAAAGAGUGGGAGGAGCUUUGAGUAGAGGUGACAGACCUACCGAGCCUAGUUAUAGCUGGUUGCCCGGGAAAUGGAUAGAAGUUCAGCCUUCAGGUUUCUCCCCUCCAACCGAAACACAACCUUUCGACCCAGAUGAAGCCAGGAGAGUUAGUCAGAGGGGGUACAGCCCCUCUGACAAAGGACACAACCUUAUUGAGGAGGAUAAAGAUCACUUUAUGCAAAGAUCUACAUUAAGGUGGGCCUAAAAGCAGCCAUCCUUGCAGAAAGCGUUAAAGCUCAAAUGUAAAAUCAUCUAUCGAUGCCGAUAACCCAAACUUAUUCCCCUAACCCUACCGGGCCUUCCCAUGCAAACAUGGGAAAGAUAAUGCUAAUAUGAGUAAUAAGAAAGACACUACCCCUUUCUCCCCACACAAGUGUACAUCGGUCCGGACCCCCCACCGAAUAUUAACGGCCCCAAAGUCAGAGGGUAAUAAAAUGAAUACAGAUGACUAGACAAAGCUUUAGAAAAAUAGCCGUUACCCCUACACUGGAGUGUAUUAAAGGAAAGACUAAAAGGAAAAGAAGGAACUCGGCAAACACACCCAUUAGCCCCGCCUGUUUACCAAAAACAUCGCCUCUUGCAAGAAGUAAUAUAAGAGGUCCCGCCUGCCCUGUGACUCUAUGAGUUUAACGGCUGCGGUAUUUUGACCGUGCAAAGGUAGCGCAAUCACUUGUCUUUUAAAUAAAGACCUGUAUGAAUGGCAUCACGAGGGCUAAACUGUCUCCUUUUCCCAGUCAAUGAAAUUGAUCUCCCCGUGAAGAAGCGGGGAUACAACUAUAAGACGAGAAGACCCUGUGGAGCUUUAAACGCAAGAGAAGGUCAUGUCAAGCCCCCCCCCCGGUGAAACAAAAUGAACACUUCUCUAAUGUUUUUGGUUGGGGCGACCGCGGGGAAAUAAAAAACCCCCACGUGGAACGGGAGCACCCCUCCUACAACUAAGAGCAACAGCUCUAAUUAACGGAACAUCCGACCAACAAUGAUCCGGCCAGACCGAUCAACGGACCCAGUUACCCCAGGGAUAACAGCGCAAUCCCCUUUUAGAGACCUUAUCGCCAAGGGGGUUUACGACCUCGAUGUUGGAUCAGGACAUCCUAAUGGUGCAGCCGCUAUUAAGGGUUCGUUUGUUCAACGAUUAAAGUCCUACGUGAUCUGAGUUCAGACCGGAGUAAUCCAGGUCAGUUUCUAUCUAUAACAUGCUUUUUUCUAGUACGCAAGGACCGAAGAAAGAGGGCCCCUGCUCAAGGCACGCCCUUCCUCCAUCUAAUGAAGACAACUAAAUUAGACAAGAAGGCAUUACCCGCCUGCCUUAGACACAAGGCUU
Molecule: ribosomal RNA, 1688 nt
Filed under: Dibranchus sp. YXL-2021
Lineage: Eukaryota; Metazoa; Chordata; Actinopteri; Lophiiformes; Ogcocephalidae
Description: 16S ribosomal RNA
Rfam family: Bacterial large subunit ribosomal RNA
Source: RNAcentral